AUGAACGCUAGCGGCAGGCCUAACACAUGCAAGUCGAGGGGCAGCACAGGUAGCAAUACUGGGUGGCGACCGGCGGAUGGGUGCGUAACGCGUAUGCAACCUACCAUUGAUUGGGGCAUAGCCCGAAGAAAUUCGGAUUAAUACUCCAUAAUAUUCAUUAAAGGCAUCCUUUAUGAAUUAAAGCUUUUGCGAUCAAUGAUGGGCAUGCGUGACAUUAGUUAGUUGGUGAGGUAACGGCUCACCAAAACGAUGAUGUCUAGGGGUUCUGAGAGGAUUAUCCCCCACACUGGUACUGAGACACGGACCAGACUCCUACGGGAGGCAGCAGUGAGGAAUAUUGGUCAAUGGACGCAAGUCUGAACCAGCCAUGCCGCGUGCAGGAUGACGGCCCUAUGGGUUGUAAACUGCUUUUCCACGGGAAGAACCCUCCGACGUGUCGGAGACUGACGGUACCGUGGGAAUAAGCAUCGGCUAACUCCGUG
RNAcentral lists this ribosomal RNA (482 nucleotides) under uncultured bacterium. RNAcentral describes it as "bacterial SSU rRNA". It matches the Rfam family "Bacterial small subunit ribosomal RNA", at positions 29 to 507 of the family's 1533-position model. The record is from RNAcentral.